This 251-nucleotide ribosomal RNA is filed under the name uncultured bacterium. RNAcentral describes it as "partial 16S ribosomal RNA". It matches the Rfam family "Bacterial small subunit ribosomal RNA", at positions 524 to 771 of the family's 1533-position model. The record is from RNAcentral.
UACGAAGGGGGCUAGCGUUGUUCGGAAUCACUGGGCGUAAAGCGCACGCAGGCGGAUCGUUAAGUCAGGGGUGAAAUCCCGAGGCUCAACCUCGGAACUGCCUUUGAUACUGGCGAUCUUUGAGUCCGGGAGGAGGUGAGUGGAACUCCGGAGUGUAGAGGUGAAAUUCGUAGAUAUUCGCAAGAACACCAGUGGCGAAGGCGGCUCACUGGCCCGAUACUGACGCUGAGGUGCGAAAGCGUGGGGAGCAA